This 253-nucleotide ribosomal RNA is filed under the name uncultured bacterium. Its description in RNAcentral is "partial 16S ribosomal RNA". It matches the Rfam family "Bacterial small subunit ribosomal RNA", at positions 524 to 776 of the family's 1533-position model. The record is from RNAcentral.
GACGGAGGAUGCAAGCGUUAUCCGGAAUGAUUGGGCGUAAAGCGUCCGCAGGUGGCAGUUCAAGUCUGCUGUCAAAGACCGGGGCUUAACUUCGGAAAGGCAGUGGAAACUGAACAGCUAGAGUAUGGUAGGGGCAGAGGGAAUUCCUGGUGUAGCGGUGAAAUGCGUAGAGAUCAGGAAGAACAUCGGUGGCGAAGGCGGCUACCUGGACCGGAACUGACGCUGAUGCGCGAAAGCGUGGGUAGCAAACAGG